CUGGAGAGGCCAGGCCCAGGGGGGCACCCGCUGGGAGCUCCGGUUGCCCCCCUUCUGUCCCCGCAGGGGAGGAGGAGUUGCCGGGGCUGAAGUGCCAGGUCACCGAGCUGCACGACGUGCUGAUGAAGGACGUGGGUGACCGCAUCCGCGCCGACGGCCGGUGGCCUCUUGUCAUCGACCCCUCAGGCCAGGCGGCCGCUUUCCUGCGCUACCAGGACACCAACUACGUGGACACGGUGAACCCAGACCACAUGCGGCCCGAGAGGAUUCGGUUGGCGCUUCUGGGGGCGCUCAGGUGAGGCGGUGGGAGCUGGGGCACACGGGGUCCGCCCCGUCCCCUGAGGCCCACAGACGGGCCGGAGUACGGCCCCACCCAGUUCCAGGAGUCCCGCCUGGAGCAGUUCCGCCUCUUCUUUGUCACCCAGGUUCAGUGGCCCCCGGCUGAGCAGUUGCAGGUCCUGCUCCCGGUGCAGGUCCAGCUGCCCAGCGGAGGCCUUUAGCACCAAUAAAGCAAAGCCCGGGA
This is a long non-coding RNA of Myotis brandtii (Brandt's bat), 523 nucleotides long. RefSeq lists it as uncharacterized. The record is from RefSeq and is a predicted model, not a curated record. The transcript has 2 exons. NCBI's taxonomy places the organism in Eukaryota, Metazoa, Chordata, Mammalia, Chiroptera, Vespertilionidae.